AUGGCCGCCGUGGCUUCGGUGUCCGGUUUGCACGGGACGGCGGCUACAGGGAAAAAGCGCACGGCAGAUAUAGGGAGGAAGGAGAUACGGGGGCUCACUCACCUCGCGCACGAGGUUGAAGAGGACGUAGGCUGGCCGGAGCGGAGUCGAGAGAGAGGAAGAAGCCGGCGACGUCCGGGAAGUAGAAGAGGACGCGGACGUAGUCGUUCCCGGCUCCUCCGGUCUUGCAGCUUGCGGGGGUCGACGGCGGCGGACGAGGGGCUGCUUCUCGCGGCUUCGGAAGGCUGGAGACGGCGGGGAUCACGCCGGAGCAGAUCUCGCGCUCGCUCUGUCUGUGGCGACGGCGGCUAUGCGUGGGAGCUUACCUUGAUGGGGGGAGACGAGAAGAGGGUGGGAAUGGAGAGAGGAGGGGCGAUUAGGGCUCUCGGCGGCAUUAUAUAG
RNAcentral lists this ribosomal RNA (441 nucleotides) under Triticum aestivum (bread wheat). Its description in RNAcentral is "partial small subunit ribosomal RNA". Lineage: Eukaryota; Viridiplantae; Streptophyta; Magnoliopsida; Poales; Poaceae. The record is from RNAcentral.